AUUUGAUCCGCUAAGCAAAAAAUAAAAAAUAAAAAAUCGAACAAUUACAAUUAUGCAACCCUAACAAUUCCUUUCUCACGGGCAAUUCUUCCUCUCCCAUUAUAAUACCAUAAAUCUUCUCUCUCCAAUCCCUCUUCUCAUCCUCACGCAGUUCAGAGAAGAUGAAGUUAUUGCCAUGGUUGGGUCUCCAUCAUAAAUCAAAAAAUUACCCCAAAAAUGGAAAAACAUUGGAUGUUUGUGUGUAUUCUGUACUAGUGACCGUGCAUAGUCUUGUGGAGUUCAUUUGGGCAAAAACAAUGGCUUUCGUUGGAACCUUGCGAUGCCUACCAUCUAUUUGCCACUUAUCAAAUUCGAUUCCAUCUGUAUCUCCUUCUUCGCUCUCUUUCCAUUUUCCACUUUCAAUUUUCAAUAGCAAAAGAUCCCUCUUGUCCAUCAGGUCAGCUUCGGUGGAAGGUAAACUUCUUGAAUACAUAAACGUGGAAUUAUAUCAAUUUAUCGAGGUUUAUUUAUUUAUUUAUUUAUUAUUAUUAUUAUUAUUAUUAUUAUUAUUAUUAUUCUUAUUAUUAUUAUUAUUAUUAUUAUUAUUAUUAUUAUUAUUAUUAUUAUUAUUAUUAUUAUUUUUGGAUGAUAAAAAAUAGAGAAUAAGUGGGAUACUUCAAGAGUUUGGUGAGACGACUUUUUUGCCUCUAAAUGCUUGAUUUAUUGCCUUCAUGAUUCAGUGAAAAUCUGACGCCUGAGGCGUCGAAGCCUUUCUCCCAUAUUCAAGCCUAAAACGAGCUUGAAAACAACAUGUUUAUGAAGAAAUAGAUUCAUGGAUUGUGAAUAUUUUUUUGGAAAUGACAGUACAAGCGUGGAAUACACUGUGAAGUGAAAUUUAAUAAAGGAAGGAGAUAAGAAAAUAUUGAGGCUUUGGGAAAGAAAAUUUCAAAAAUAAAUAUAUAAUAUAUUGUUCUUCAAGAAUGAAUAAUGAUGAUCCACUCUGGUUAUUGAUAUUUUCUCUUGUUUUACAACAUUUUGGACCAUGCCGAAGAAACCAUUUGUAACAACAGAGUAGAGAGCAUAGGAUGAUUAAAUAAUUUGAUGAUUAUUCAUGUGGACUUAAAUAACAUGACAAUAAUUCUUUUAGAUGAGGGGGUUCUUGAUUUUCAAUAGGCCUUUGCUGUUAAAUAAAUAAUUUGAUGGUUAUUCAUGUGGACUUAAAUUUUUCACAGGGAUACUGAUGUAGUAAGUGGAUUUACACUAUACAUGGUUUCUUCUUGUUUCUGAUGUAUGGACCAAAUUGUUUAGGAUUUCAUGAUUACAAAAAAAAAAAAAAAAUGUUUUGUUACUAUUGUGUUAUAGUUUAUGGAUUGCAUAAAACCAGUAAGAGAAACCUUUUGGUAUAGAAGAUAAUGUGAUCUAUUCAUUGUGGAUAUGUUGAACUUCAUUACUACAUUUUUCUAGCAAUGCACUUGUGACUAUGCUUUGUUUGCAUUUACUCUAAGUGAUAACUGAUAACCACUCCCCUAAAGUAAGGCCUUGAUUUGUGGGUUUAUACUUAACCACCAUUUCAUUACAAACAAGUUUGGAGGGUGAGUCCAAUCUAGCAUGGCCAUGGCUAUUGUAUGAGACUAGGCACCAUUCUCAGGACGAUCCUCAUUGCCAACAGAUGAAUUGGGAGGGAGGGUUACUUAAAAGUAAAAGAUGGGUUUAUUAAUGUAGCCCAUUGAGAAUAUGGUCCAUCACGGACGUUAACUUUGAAAUGAGUGGAGUGUAAGAACCCUAAUGAGUCUUAUAUUUUUAAGGCUUGACUUUUGGACAUGUAAUCACUUGGGAACCCUCCCCUUACAUGUAAGUUUUAAGUCUAAAUUCUAUUGAAUGGGGUUUUAACAUCUCGAGCAACAUGAAAAUAUUUUGCAAUGUCAGCGCCUUAAUGGACUUAAUUGUAUGUAAAUCUUGACAUUUCAAAUAAUUUGAUAAUAUAGUAGGGCAAAUAAGAGUCCUUUAUUGGUAUUGCAUGAAUCCCAUGGUCCAUAGGUCUUCAACUUUGCCACUUGAGCUACAUCUCAUUUGCAUAUUGUAGAGAAUUUAGAGAUUAUGCAAUGUUGUUGAUAAAGAUUCUGCUUAACAUGGUCAAUGGAUUAUUUAGUGUAGAUAUAAUUAUGAUGCCAUCUGUCAGGUUAUUGGCUUUUGAUAUUUUAUUUUUCUAAUAAUCUUUCGACCAUGGUAGCAAGAAAAUUUUCUUGUUUAUUUCAAAAGCAUAAUGGCAUGAGGAAGAUUGGUUUGUCAAUUUGGUUUCGUUUUGAAAAUGCCCAUUUUAGAAAUUUACGGGAGAAGCCAUUGAAUAGCUCUUAGGGUUAGUACGCAUUAUUCUUAUCGAAUUUUAUUGUGUAUGUGGUGCUAAAUAACGUUGUGAAAGCAUCUUCUUUGUUAAUUAUAUUCCAUGUUGUCCAAUCCAACAUAUAAAACAUUCCCGAAAACUUUAUGUCCUCUUAUUUUCCUCCAUUGCAUUUUCUUACAGGAUAAAUUAGGUGAAUGGAUUUUCAAGAGUAGAAGUAGAGAUGCAUUUCAUGAGGGCUACAUGUUUUCUAUGCUUGUCACAGAAUAAUUCGAUGUUUGGCCUGAGAAAAAUGUCCGUCAGCGAAUAUGGGUAAGUUCCCUUGUCAAAAUCUAUGUGCAUGCUUACGUAAAGUUUGUUCGUAAACGAUUUGAAUUGCUUUUGUGUAAGUACUAUGUCGAAUAUUUUUCUUGUUCUUGAGAGGCAAGAAUCUUAAGGCUGUUUUCUCCAAAGUCGUCCUAUAUAUUCUCUGGUCUUUUGGAGACUCAUUUGCACCAUAACUUGUUGGCAUCCAUCAGCUCUAAAGUGACAGUGGCAGUACGUUUUGUUUAUUUCAGUAUCUGACUUUGCUUUCUGGAAUUUUUGUUUGGUUUCUCCCUAUUGAUCACAUAACUAGGGGUUGGGGAAAGAUGGAAGUGGCAUGGUAGAGCUUGUCCAAGUUCAAGUCAUGGAUACUAGAGCGGUACUAGGGAAUCAGCCUAAGGAGUUGGAUCUAAAACUCGAAGUGUAGGCUAGAGAUAGUUAUAAAGCUGUUAUUCAAAAGAAGGCCAUUGCCCGAUUUCGGGAAAUAUCAUAGGCUAGUUGACACGAAAGAAGCUGUUUUUCUUUGUGCUCCGCCAUUUGUUAUCCCUUUUGAGUUAUGUUUGUAGAGACGAUGCAACAAGAACUCUUUAAUCCUUACUCCUUUUUAGUUAGGUGGUGUUGUAUUACAUUUUAAUGUUCAAGUGUAUUGAUUCAAAAAUUUGUAAUGAAAUUAUUAAUUUUUAUGCAAUUCCAAAAUUUGUUCACAAA
Molecule: long non-coding RNA, 3328 nt
Filed under: Olea europaea subsp. europaea
Lineage: Eukaryota; Viridiplantae; Streptophyta; Magnoliopsida; Lamiales; Oleaceae
Source: RNAcentral